RNAcentral lists this ribosomal RNA (424 nucleotides) under uncultured bacterium. RNAcentral describes it as "bacterial SSU rRNA". It matches the Rfam family "Bacterial small subunit ribosomal RNA", at positions 356 to 773 of the family's 1533-position model. The record is from RNAcentral.
AGGGAAUCUUCCGCAAUGGACGAAAGUCUGACGGAGCAACGCCGCGUGAGUGAUGAAGGUUUUCGGAUCGUAAAGCUCUGUUGCCAGGGAAGAACGUCUUGGAGAGUAACUGCUCUGAGAGUGACGGUACCUGAGAAGAAAGCCCCGGCUAACUACGUGCCAGCAGCCGCGGUAAUACGUAGGGGGCAAGCGUUGUCCGGAAUUAUUGGGCGUAAAGCGCGCGCAGGCGGCUGUUUAAGUCUGGUGUAUAAUCCUGGGGCUCAACUCCGGGUCGCACUGGAAACUGGACGGCUUGAGUGCAGAAGAGGAGAGUGGAAUUCCACGUGUAGCGGUGAAAUGCGUAGAGAUGUGGAGGAACACCAGUGGCGAAGGCGACUCUCUGGGCUGUAACUGACGCUGAGGCGCGAAAGCGUGGGGAGCAAAC